Molecule: long non-coding RNA, 2811 nt
Organism: Mauremys reevesii (Reeves's turtle)
Lineage: Eukaryota; Metazoa; Chordata; Testudines; Geoemydidae
Exons: 5
Source: RefSeq, a predicted model, not a curated record
AGAAAGUGAGAGUAACAGCUGUGUGGGAUAACAAAGAAGUGUUUGUGUCUCCAGCUGAGGCAAGUCCCGUGACCAAACUUUGGGGAACAUGUACAAACAGCAACAUUUUUCACUACAACACAGCACAUAGAAACAAGACCCCCAAAAUACUACUUACCUAUCUGGCUUUACUGCCGUUCCAUGUGAUUGCCUGUUCACUAACACAUGCAGCUCUGUGUUGUGUUAGCGUGUUUACCAUGUUUUGUGAGUGUUUCCUGACACAGUGUUUGACAAAAAAGUACACAGGCAUACUGGUGUGAAGCCCUUCCACUAGUACUGGAAUAAUCUGAUGCCAAGCCAUACAGGAUUGGGCACAAGUAAAAAUGGUUCCCAUGUGCUCCCCUCAAAGUUUUGACCACACACAAUGCCAAGAAAGAAGGCUACCCUCUCUGGCCACAGAGUGGAUAAAAGAAGGAGAACAUAAAGUGAAAAUUAAUUGAAUACAGAAUGCAGAUGAUGGCUCCCUUGGCCCAACUACAACAUCCAUGCAACGGCAACAGCUUUCAGCUACUGGUUCUAAAAUAAAGCUGCCAUAUGACACAGAAGUGGCUCUAGCCAUUUUGCUAGCCAGGGUGGAAAACAUUUUCAGCACUGCACCACCAGUGGGCCAAAAAAAGGCCAGCCAAUCAGACCGGAAGGGGGGAAAAGAGCACAAUCGCAUAGCAACUGUUCCACUGCUCCACCCCUAGAACCAGCCCUGACUUUGCACAUAUAAUUAUCUAUCAGUCAAGCUUGGUUGACGUGCCAUACAGAUAGCAGAAAAUUAGGUUCCAUCCUCCAAAGCCCUUCACUUCUGGGAAGCUAUUCAUGUGAAUGUGGAAGAUCUUCAAGAUGAGGAGGGCGGAAUUAAUGUUUCAAAAUUCCUGACUGUGAAAAACAAAAUCAAGUAACAGCAAGGUUGAAGAAAGAGUCACGGUCUCGCUACCAGUAGAGGAUGCUGCAAAGUGGAUCCAAAGAGCUAACAAGACAGCAGGAAGUAACAAAGAAAAAGGAGAUGAGUAGGAUCUAAAAUAGAAAUCUUCACCUCGUACAUAAUGUGGUGCAGGAGUCUGGGAAAGAGCAAUACAAUAUAAAUAAGCUGUUCUUCAAACACAAUCUGAAAGCUUUUGAAAAGCAAGCAUCUCUUGAAAGAAAAAAACCCAUUCAUAUUGUAAAAGAUAAGAGCACCAAAUCCUUGAGGGAUACACGGCCCAGUGGACAAUAAAACUAGGAUGAUACUACCUUACACUUCCACAGAAUCUUCCAUAUGAAGAUUUCAAAGAACUUUACCAAUAUGAACAAAUUAAGCCUCACAACACAUCUGUGAGGCACUAUCCCUGUUCUAAAGAUGGGGAAACUGAGGCACAGAAAGGUUAAGUGAUUUCCCUGGAGUCACACAAGGAGUUUCUGGCAGAGUUGAGAAUAGAGUCAAGAAUAAUGCAGCAGGAGUACUGAAAAUCUCCAUUACAGGGUAGGAAUAAGGAAAUCACCGGAAGUUAUUGUGACCAUUCCCAGUCACCCAAUUUUGAGUCCUUUAUUUCAGCCACACCAUCUUUUAUCCUCCAGCAAUACAGUGCUCACUUCACAAACACACAACUGGCCCCAUAUGGUUUCUUGAUAUAUACCAUUUUCCCAGUACAUUUCAUUUCUGUGGAAUGAAUUUGGUGUAUCCUCAUUUCUUCCCUGUCCCCAAUCUCAUUAUUUGUAGUUUUCCAAUGUUGCUUACAGGGCUGGGAAACUCAGUGAUGGCUUGUGCCUCCCUCUUGUUGAUUUUAUAACACUAUUAUACACUAUUUUUCCUGCAACAACAUAAAACCUCCAAUCACCUUUGCAAGUGACAAAUUUCAUAAAGCUGGAUGAAUCAGUUCAGAUAAAAUACAAAGUCCUUUCCCCAGCCUGCAUUCCACUUGUUGAAGAACUCAUAUCUAUGCAAACCCAACCUACUUUUUGAGGGGGCAGAAAGUUGGCUUUUCUUUAUACAGUAUUUCAUUUUUGUACAUGGCUAUACUUCCAUGUUGCUAUGACAGACUGCACAGGCACUUCAAUAUUGUUGUUUAUUAUCUGGCAGGUGCUAUCUGCAUGCUUUGUUCUGUACAAGGUGCAAAAGAAGAGACAUCCACUUCCCCAAGGAACAGACAGCCUAAAGGCUGUUUUUCUCACUAUUUCCACCCCAACUGCAAGCAGGUAGUACUAGGAAAGCCCACAAGAAGAACUGUGUGAGAGAUUUCCAGCCCAAUUUUUGUAGACCUAAGAGGUUUAGUUAAAUUUGGAUAUACUUACCUGAGCAGAACCUUAAUGGUCACCUGGCUCUUACAAAGACAUAUGAUUUUGCAGAAGAUGAUAUGUCAAAGUACCGAGGGCUGCACAGGCAACUUGGCACUAGCCCGAGAACAGCACUUAACUUUCAUACAAAUGUACACAGAAUUUUAGUUAUAUAAAUGUACAGUUAUUCUUUUGUUACAAAAUGCUUUCAAGGGUACACAGCAGAAAACAAAGACAAAAUGUGUUUUUCCAGGACUGCAAAGGAAGGAGUAUCAAGGGGAAGACCAGCUGUGCUUCUCUGACACCAGCUUCUUGGUGAUUGGCUUUAUCUUUGUGGUGGACACCUGCAACAUGGAAUGAUGUGAACAUCACUCUACUUUACAUAAACACCAAGACUGAAACUAUGACCUCACCCUUCCAAUUUUCUACGCAAGCGAAUACAUCAAGGGAAAAAUCAUCUUAAACAUAUAUACUUAAUGGGUGGAGUAAGAAGGAAACUUUGUAAGCAGAAACACUGAAAGAGACAUCACA